This 775-nucleotide ribosomal RNA is filed under the name uncultured Neocallimastigales. RNAcentral's name for it is "partial large subunit ribosomal RNA". It matches the Rfam family "Eukaryotic large subunit ribosomal RNA", at positions 24 to 629 of the family's 3401-position model. The record is from RNAcentral. Lineage: Eukaryota; Fungi; Neocallimastigomycota; Neocallimastigomycetes; Neocallimastigales.
GCAUCUGUGCAUGCAGCAUAUCAAUAAGCGGAGGAAAAGAAACUAACAAGGAUUCCCCUAGUAACGGCGAGUGAAGCGGGAAGAGCUCAAAUUUGAAAUCUUAAAGGGUUUCCCUUUACGAAUUGUAGUUUAAAGAAGUGUUUUCUGUUGAGGUUUUGGUAAAAGUUCUUUGGAAUAGGACAUCAUAGAGGGUGAGAAUCCCGUAUUUGACCUUUACUUUCAACUUUGUGAUACACUUUCAAAGAGUCGGAUUGUUUGGGAAUGCAGUCCAAAAUGGGUGGUAAAUUUCAUCUAAAGCUAAAUAUUGGCGAGAGACCGAUAGCGAACAAGUACCGUGAGGGAAAGAUGAAAAGAACUUUGAAAAGAGAGUUAAACAGUACGUGAAAUUGUCAAAAGGGAAGCGUUUGACACCAGUGUUGUUUUUCUGAAAAUCAAUUAAAGAACUGUUUAUGCUAAGCUGUUUAGACUUUAUCAGCUAAUCUGUUUAGUUUUGAGCUUUUCUUUAAUGCACUUUUCAGUUAACAAGUCAACAUCAAUUUCUUUUGCUGUAAAAAAGCUUGAGGAAGGUGGCUUGAGAUUCGUCUUAAGUGUUUAUAGCCUCUUGCCUAUGCAGUCGGAGAGAUUGAGGUCUGCAGGCGUAGAUCCUUCGGGGCUAAAUGCAUUUGUGCUAAGUUAUAACAUUUUAUAGACAACUUGUUGACUAUGAUUUGUCUUGUAGCUUACUCGCUUAUGUUAUUUUACCUACGCUUAGGAUGUUGACAGCAGUAUAGACUGU